Molecule: non-coding RNA, 757 nt
Organism: Clarias gariepinus (North African catfish)
Lineage: Eukaryota; Metazoa; Chordata; Actinopteri; Siluriformes; Clariidae
Source: the annotation of a RefSeq genome assembly
AUGAUCACACUCUUUGUGGCUCUUUACUCUCUGCUUUGUCUCUGCACAACUGGAAACCCGACUGACAUCAAGGAGUUUCAAGUGAAAACAAAGCCUGGAGAAGCUGUAACUAUGGAGUGCAACUUUAGCGGGGACAAAAACAAAAAGAGUUUUGCUUGGUACAGACAGAGUUUUGGAAAAGUGCCUCAGGUUUUUGCCAGAGAGUACGGUGGCACUCCUGGCUACACAUUUUUCGAGGGAUUUAAAGAUAGCCGCUUCACUGUUACUGUAAAGGACCAAAAGUUUGAUCUCAACAUUAAUGAAACAAGAGAAGAUGAUGGAGGAGAAUAUUUCUGUGGAUAUGUGGAGGGAAGUACAGUAAAGUUCACAUCUGGAACACGUCUGCAGUUUGAAGGUGAAGAGAUGAAACCCUGUCCUACACCUGGAACACUUAACAAGAACACACACUCUGUUACACACCAGGGUUCAAACAGCAGAGAUGGAGAAGGUUCCAGCUCUACUGAUCAGAUGUGUGUGAUGUUCUGGCUCUCUGUUUCUAGAGUUGGAGUUCUUGUCUUUAUUAUUUUUCCAACGAUGCUGAUUGUUUACAAAUUAAAAUACAAAUUGUAAUAAAAUACUUUAAUGUCUGUCAGAUUUGACUAUCAUGACACUAUAAAUGGGUUAAAAUGUUUUUUGUAUAUAUGAUUUGAUAUAUACAGUGGUGUGAAAAACUAUUUGCCCCCUUCCUGAUUUCUUAUUCUUUUGCAUGUUUGUCACA